This 1317-nucleotide small RNA is filed under the name Pan troglodytes (chimpanzee). Its description in RNAcentral is "retained intron". Lineage: Eukaryota; Metazoa; Chordata; Mammalia; Primates; Hominidae. The record is from RNAcentral.
GACUUAAAGAUGGAGGAAGCUAUGAGCAAUACAGGUAUUUCGUUUUAUUAUUAAAGCCUAAACAAAGUUCUCCUAUCUUGGCCCAUCCUUCAGUCUCAUCUCUGUGAGUCUGCACCUGUUAUCUUGAGAAACUGCCCUUCCCUCUGGUCUGCCCGAGACCAGGAUCACCCACCAAAGAUAGGUGUCACCUAGGAGACCUUCUUUGUAUAGUUCUUUGGGGACUUUUUCUUUCUUGGUGAUGGUUAACAUUCAUUCUCCUUUGACACUUGAAAACUUAGGCAGUUUCAGCGUCGAAAGUGGCCAGAAAUGAAGAGACCUUCUUCCAAAUCACUGGGACAACUGUGGGAAGGCUGGGAAGGUUAAGAAACAACAGAGGUGGACCUCCAAAAACAUAGAGGCAUCACCUGACUGCACAGGCAAUGAAAAACCAUGUGGGUGAUUUCCAGCAGACCUGUGCUAUUGGCCAGGAGGCCUGAGAAAGCAAGCACGCACUCUCAGUCAACAUGGCAGAUUCUGGAGGAUAACCAGCAGGAGCAGAGAUAACUUCAGGAAGUCCAUUUUUGCCCCUGCUUUUGCUUUGGAUUAUACCUCACCAGCUGCACAAAAUGCAUUUUUUCGUAUCAAAAAGUCACCACUAACCCUCCCCCAGAAGCUCACAAAGGAAAACGAAGAGAGCGAGCCAGAGAGAUUUCCUUGGAAAUUUCCCCCAAGGGCGAAAGUCAUUGGAAUUUUUAAAUCAUAGGGGAAAAGCAGUCCUGUUCUAAAUCCUCUUAUUCUUUUGGUUUGUCACAAAGAAGGAACUAAGAAGCAGGACAGAGGCAACGUGGAGAGGCUGAAAACAGUGCAGAGACGUUUGACAAUGAGUCAGUAGCACAAAAGAGAUGACAUUUACCUAGCACUAUAAACCCUGGUUGCCUCUGAAGAAACUGCCUUCAUUGUAUAUAUGUGACUAUUUACAUGUAAUCAACAUGGGAACUUUUAGGGGAACCUAAUAAGAAAUCCCAAUUUUCAGGAGUGGUGAUGUCAAUAAACGCUCUGUGGCCAGUGUAAAAGAAAAUCCCUCACAGUUGUGGACAUUUCUGUUCCUGUCCAGAUACCAUUUCUCCUAGUAUUUCUUUGUUAUGUCCCAGAACUGAUGUUUUUUUUUAAGGUACUGAAAAGAAAUGAAGUUGAUGUAUGUCCCAAGUUUUGAUGAAACUGUAUUUGUAAAAAAAAUUUUGUAGUUUAAGUAUUGUCAUACAGUGUUCAAAACCCCAGCCAAUGACCAGCAGUUGGUAUGAAGAACCUUUGACAUUUUGUAAAAGGCCAUUUCUUGGA